GCCUCAGCCUCCGGAGCUGCUGGGAUGACAGGUGUGCACCACUGCCCCCGGCCGGAGGGCCUUGUCUGUGCCAGGCAACCGCUCUGUCACUGUUCACGCACUGAGGUUUGCGCUGGAUGCAUCCUUCUGGAACCUGCUGUGCUCCCUCCACUCAUGUUCCUGAGGUUCUUUUGCGCUGGUAAUGGAUAAGCAAAACGUGUGGCCGGGCCGGGCGGCCCACGCUGGCCAUCCCAGCAGCUCUGGAGGCUGAGGCAGGAGGAUGGCAAGUUGGAGGCCAGCCUCAGCGACAGAGGAACAGUCGCCACCGUGGGCAGCGGGUGUGGCCUCCGUCAGCCCCAGACAGGGAAGUGGCUGUGUGACCCUGGGCCCCGGGUUCCUCUCCUGAUCUGGGGAGGCACUGCCCAGGCUGACGGAAGGUUCUAGAAGGUCCCUCAGGCACCCUGGAGCCGUGCUGGGCGGGCCCUGGGUGGGCCCCAGCCCUGGACAGGCAGCACGUCCCCCCCAGGCCAGGCUCCAAGGGAAGCCCCCCUCCCCCUCCUCCUGGGUGCCCCCCGGGGCCCGGCCUCCUCCUCCUCCUGCCUCCUCUCCCCCUCCCCCAGCCACCGUCCACCCUGUGCCUGGCGCAGGCCCCCCCUGCCCCCCGCCGGUGGCAGCUGCUGCCAGGGGAGCCUGCCCACCCCCAUGGCGCCCGGGCACCAGGCACCAGCUGGGACAUGACCCUGCAGGAAGAGCCGGUUUACGUCACUCUCCCCCAGAGAGGCUCAGAGCCGAGGCCGCGGCCGGGGGGGAGGCCGCUCAGGUGCAGCUUCCCCAGAGCCCAGGGCCCCCCAUGGGUCUCCCCCCAGGACCCCCUCAUGGUGGUUGGUCUUUUCCCAGAAGACCCCACGGUGACGAGGCCAGGCUGGACGGGGCUCCCCCUGGGUGGACAGGGCACAGGCGGUAUCAAGGUCCUGGGGUCAGGGCUGGGGGGCACUUACCUGGCACCUGGGAGGCACUGGGUUCCGUUCUCAGCACCCCCCAGAAAUAACCUCAGGGUCCAGGGACAACGGGAAAAAUAUACGAAACCCCCCAAGAAAGAUCUUGGGAUUAGCCGGGCGCACGGUGGCCCUCGCCUGUCUUCCCAGCGGCUGGGGAGGCCGAGGCUGGAGGAUCGCGAGCGGGAGGCCAGCCUCUACCGCAAACUCAGCGAGGCCCUGAGCCGCUCAGGGAGACCCUGUGUCUCUAAAUAAAAUGCAAAAUAGGGCUGGGGACGGGGCUCGGGGGUUGCACACCCCUGGGGUCAAUCCCUGGUGUCCCCACCCCCCCAAAAAAACUGGGUGGGCAGGAGCUGGUGACAUGAGGGGGCUGGGGCCUGAGACCUGGGGGAAGGCCCAGGCCGGGGACGGGAAAUCUGCCCAGCGCUUACCGUCACGCGGAUGAAGACGGCGGCGGCGCUGCCAGGGACGUGCCAGGGACCCAGGCAGGUCACAGCAGGUUCCCAGGGUGCGGCCGGUGGCCCCUGCCAGGGAUCCCAGGGUGUCUGCACGUCCCUGGGAUCCCACAGGGUCCCUGGGGUUGUCUUUCCUUCUGUGUGACACCCGGGUCCUCGUGCUGCUAGGCGAGUGCUCUGGGCUGUCCCCAGCCCU
This is a non-coding RNA of Ictidomys tridecemlineatus (thirteen-lined ground squirrel), 1625 nucleotides long. Lineage: Eukaryota; Metazoa; Chordata; Mammalia; Rodentia; Sciuridae. The record is from RefSeq and is a predicted model, not a curated record.